This 515-nucleotide ribosomal RNA is filed under the name uncultured Glomus. RNAcentral describes it as "SSU rRNA". It matches the Rfam family "Eukaryotic small subunit ribosomal RNA", at positions 569 to 1092 of the family's 1831-position model. Lineage: Eukaryota; Fungi; Glomeromycota; Glomeromycetes; Glomerales; Glomeraceae. The record is from RNAcentral.
AGCAGCCGCGGUAAUUCCAGCUCCAAUAGCGUAUAUUAAAGUUGUUGCAGUUAAAAAGCUCGUAGUUGAAUUUCGGGAUCAAUAUGUUGGUCGUGCCUUGGUACGUACUGGCAUUAUUGGUUUCUACCUUCUGAAGAACCUCGAUGUCAUUAAUUUGGUGUCUUGGGGAAUCAGGACUGUUACUUUGAAAAAUUAGAGUGUUUAAAGCAGGCUCGCGCUUGAAUACAUUAGCAUGGAAUAAUGAAAUAGGACGUUUGAUUCUAUUUUGUUGGUUUCUAGGAUCGACGUAAUGAUUAAUAGGGAUAGUUGGGGGCAUUAGUAUUCAAUUGUCAGAGGUGAAAUUCUUGGAUUUAUUGAAGACUAACUACUGCGAAAGCAUUUGCCAAGGAUGUUUUCAUUAAUCAAGAACGAAAGUUAGGGGAUCGAAGACGAUCAGAUACCGCCCUAGUUCUAACCAUAAACUAUGCCAACUAGCAAUUUGCUUAUGUAUGUUUUAUGACUAAGUGAGAGGACCG